This is a non-coding RNA of Xylariaceae sp. FL0016, 112 nucleotides long. NCBI's taxonomy places the organism in Eukaryota, Fungi, Ascomycota, Sordariomycetes, Xylariales, Xylariaceae. The record is from the annotation of a GenBank genome assembly.
GGCAAAGUGGCCGAGUGGUUAAGGCGGCAGACUCAAGACAAUGUCUUACACUGUACAACGGUGCUAUAUUCUGCUGGAGCAAUCCGCGCGCGUUCGAAUCGCGUCUUUGUCA